This 513-nucleotide ribosomal RNA is filed under the name uncultured bacterium. Its description in RNAcentral is "bacterial SSU rRNA". It matches the Rfam family "Bacterial small subunit ribosomal RNA", at positions 501 to 1016 of the family's 1533-position model. The record is from RNAcentral.
CUACGUGCCAGCAGCCGCGGUAAUACGGAAGGUCCAGGCGUUAUCCGGAUUUAUUGGGUUUAAAGGGAGUGUAGGCGGUCUGUUAAGCGUGUUGUGAAAUUUAGGUGCUCAACAUCUACCUUGCAGCGCGAACUGGCGGACUUGAGUGCACGCAACGUAUGCGGAAUUCAUGGUGUAGCGGUGAAAUGCUUAGAUAUCAUGACGAACUCCGAUUGCGAAGGCAGCGUACGGGAGUGUUACUGACGCUUAAGCUCGAAGGUGCGGGUAUCGAACAGGAUUAGAUACCCUGGUAGUCCGCACGGUAAACGAUGGAUGCCCGCUGUUAGCGCCUGGCGUUAGCGGCUAAGCGAAAGCAUUAAGCAUCCCACCUGGGGAGUACGCCGGCAACGGUGAAACUCAAAGGAAUUGACGGGGGCCCGCACAAGCGGAGGAACAUGUGGUUUAAUUCGAUGAUACGCGAGGAACCUUACCCGGGCUUGACAUCCCUCUGACCUCUCUAGAGAUAGAGAUUUC